GUCACUGGGCCACGCCCCCGAUGCGUAGGCCGGGCAACAUGGCGGCCUCCAUGCGGGCGUCAACGUCCGAUCCAAGCGCCAAAUUCAAAUUCGCGGCCAUCUUGAGCGGGCGGAAUUCAGUCGCGCGCGGUGCAGUCGGGAGGUGGAGGCACCGGCUGCAUUGUUUUCGGGAUCGAGGGGUGAGGGCGCUAUGGCACCCGGCUGCAAAACUGAGUUACGCAGCGUGACAAAUGGUCAGUCUAACCAACCAAGUAAUGAAGGUGAUGCCAUCAAAGUUUUUGUGCGAAUUCGUCCUCCUGCAGAAAGAUCUGGGUCAGCUGAUGGAGAGCAGAACUUAUGCUUAUCUGUGCUGUCCUCCACGAGUCUCCGGCUGCACUCCAACCCUGAGCCCAAGACCUUCACGUUUGAUCAUGUUGCAGAUGUGGAUACCACUCAGGAAUCUGUAUUCGCAACUGUGGCUAAAAGCAUUGUGGAGUCUUGCAUGAGCGGUUAUAAUGGUACCAUCUUUGCAUAUGGACAGACUGGCUCAGGGAAGACAUUUACUAUGAUGGGACCAUCUGAAUCUGAUAAUUUUUCUCAUAACCUGAGAGGAGUAAUCCCACGAAGUUUUGAAUAUUUGUUUUCCUUAAUUGAUCGUGAAAAAGAAAAGGCUGGAGCUGGAAAGAGUUUCCUUUGUAAGUGUUCCUUUAUUGAAAUCUACAACGAGCAGAUAUAUGAUCUACUGGACUCUGCAUCGGCUGGACUGUACUUAAGGGAGCAUAUCAAGAAGGGAGUCUUUGUUGUUGGUGCGGUGGAGCAGGUGGUAACCUCAGCUGCUGAAGCCUAUCAGGUGUUGUCUGGAGGAUGGAGGAAUAGACGUGUGGCAUCAACAUCAAUGAACAGAGAAUCGUCUAGGUCUCAUGCCGUCUUUACAAUUACAAUAGAGUCAAUGGAGAAAAGUAAUGAGAUUGUGAAUAUACGGACCUCCCUACUCAACCUGGUGGAUUUAGCAGGAUCUGAAAGGCAAAAAGAUACCCAUGCAGAAGGGAUGAGAUUGAAGGAAGCAGGUAACAUAAAUCGAUCAUUGAGCUGCCUGGGCCAAGUGAUUACAGCACUUGUCGACGUGGGUAAUGGAAAACAGAGACAUGUUUGCUACAGAGACUCCAAACUUACCUUCUUACUACGGGAUUCCCUUGGAGGUAAUGCCAAAACAGCCAUAAUUGCAAAUGUUCAUCCUGGAUCCAGGUGUUUUGGGGAAACCCUAUCAACACUUAACUUUGCUCAAAGAGCCAAGCUGAUUAAAAACAAGGCAGUAGUAAAUGAAGACACCCAAGGAAAUGUGAGCCAGCUCCAAGCUGAAGUGAAGAGGCUCAAAGAACAACUGGCGGAGCUUGCUUCAGGACAGACACCACCAGAAAGCUUCCUGACCAGAGACAAAAAGAAGACUAACUAUAUGGAGUAUUUCCAGGAAGCAAUGUUAUUCUUUAAGAAAUCUGAACAGGAAAAGAAGUCUCUGAUAGAAAAAGUUACCCAAUUAGAAGACCUCACCCUCAAAAAGGAAAAAUUUAUUCAAUCUAAUAAAAUGAUUGUGAAAUUCCGAGAGGAUCAAAUAAUACGCUUGGAAAAGCUCCACAAGGAAUCCCGGGGAGGUUUUCUGCCUGAGGAGCAGGAUCGUUUGCUCUCAGAAUUAAGGGAUGAGAUUCAAACUCUGCGAGAACAAAUAGAGCACCACCCCAGAGUUGCAAAGUAUGCUAUGGAAAAUCAUUCCCUCAGGGAGGAGAAUAGAAGACUGAGAUUAUUAGAGCCUGUGAAAAGAGCUCAAGAAAUGGAUGCCCAGACCAUUGCAAAACUAGAAAAAGCUUUCUCUGAAAUAAGUGGCAUGGAGAAAAGUGACAAAAAUGAGCAAGGAUUUUCACCUAAAGCUCAGAAAGAGCCAUGUUUGUUUGCAAACACUGAGAAGUUAAAAGCACAACUCCUGCAAAUUCAGACAGAGCUGAAUAAUUCAAAGCAAGAAUAUGAAGAAUUCAAAGAACUUACUAGGAAAAGGCAGCUAGAAUUGGAAUCAGAGCUUCAGUCUUUGCAAAAAGCGAACCUUAAUCUUGAAAACCUUUUGGAAGCAACAAAAGCCUGCAAGCGGCAAGAAGUUUCUCAGCUGAAUAAAAUUCAUGCUGAAACACUUAAGAUUAUAACUACACCAACCAAGGCCUACCAACUUCGUUCCCGACCAGUACCAAAAUUAAGCCCUGAAAUGGGAAGCUUUGGCUCUCUAUACACUCAGAAUUCUAGCAUAUUAGAUAAUGAUAUAUUAAAUGAGCCAGUUCCUCCUGAGAUGAAUGAACAAGCUUUUGAGGCCAUUUCUGAAGAGCUUAGAACAGUGCAGGAACAAAUGAGUGCUCUUCAAGCCAAAUUGGAUGAAGAAGAGCAUAAAAACCUAAAGCUUCAGCAGCAUGUUGACAAACUGGAACAUCAUUCUACCCAAAUGCAGGAGCUUUUCUCAUCAGAAAGAAUUGAUUGGACCAAACAGCAGGAAGAGCUUCUCUCACAGUUGAAUGUCCUUGAAAAGCAGCUUCAAGAGACUCAAACUAAAAAUGACUUUUUGAAAAGUGAGGUACAUGACCUGCGAGUAGUCCUUCAUUCUGCUGACAAGGAGCUUUCUUCAGUGAAAUUGGAAUAUAGUUCAUUCAAAACGAGUCAGGAGAAAGAAUUCAACAAACUUUCUGAAAGACACAUGCAUGUACAGCUUCAAUUAGAUAAUCUCAGGUUAGAAAACGAAAAGCUGCUUGAGAGCAAAGCCUGCCUGCAGGAUUCCUAUGACAACUUACAAGAAAUAAUGAAAUUUGAGAUUGACCAACUUUCAAGAAACCUCCAAAACUUCAAAAAAGAAAAUGAAACUCUGAAAUCUGAUCUGAAUAAUUUGAUGGAGCUUCUUGAGGCAGAAAAAGAACGCAAUAACAAAUUAUCAUUACAGUUUGAAGAAGAUAAAGAAAACAGUUCUAAAGAAAUCUUAAAAGUUCUUGAGGCUGUACGUCAGGAGAAACAGAAAGAGACGGCCAAGUGUGAGCAGCAGAUGGCAAAAGUACAGAAACUAGAAGAGAGCUUGCUUGCUACUGAAAAAGUGAUCAGUUCCCUGGAAAAGUCUAGAGAUUCUGAUAAGAAAGUUGUAGCUGACCUCAUGAACCAGAUCCAGGAGCUAAGAACAUCGGUCUGUGAGAAAACAGAAACUAUAGACACCCUGAAACAAGAACUGAAGGACAUAAAUUGCAAAUACAACUCUGCUUUGGUUGACAGAGAAGAGAGCAGAGUGUUGAUCAAGAAGCAGGAAGUGGAUAUUCUGGAUCUGAAAGAAACCCUUAGGCUGAGAAUACUUUCUGAGGACAUAGAGAGGGAUAUGCUCUGUGAGGACCUGGCUCAUGCCACUGAGCAGCUGAACAUGCUCACAGAGGCCUCAAAAAAACACUCGGGGCUGCUGCAGUCUGCCCAGGAAGAACUGACCAAGAAGGAAGCCCUGAUUCAGGAACUUCAGCACAAGCUAAACCAAAAGAAAGAGGAAGUAGAACAGAAGAAGAAUGAAUAUAACUUCAAAAUGAGGCAACUAGAACAUGUGAUGGAUUCUGCUGCUGAGGAUCCCCAGAGUCCUAAGACACCACCUCACUUUCAAACACAUUUGGCAAAACUCCUGGAAACACAAGAACAAGAGAUAGAAGAUGGAAGAGCCUCUAAGACUUCUUUGGAACACCUUGUAACAAAGCUAAAUGAAGACAGAGAAGUCAAAAAUGCUGAAAUCCUCAGAAUGAAGGAGCAGUUGUGUGAAAUGGAAAACCUACGCCUGGAAAGUCAGCAGUUAAUAGAGAAAAACUGGCUCCUGCAAGAUCAGCUGGAUGAUAUUAAAAGACAAAAGGAAAACAGUGAUCAGAAUCAUCCAGAUAAUCAACAGCUGAAGAAUGAACAAGAAGAAAGUAUCAAAGAAAGACUUGCAAAAAGUAAAAUAGUUGAAGAAAUGCUGAAAAUGAAAGCAGAGUAAGUGUACUAUUUUGUAAUUUAAAAUCUUGAUCAUCUUUUCCUUAUUCUCCUCUAAAGGAAUGAUAUACCACAAGCCUAGAAGAAGUCCAAAGUGCCCUUUACAACAAAGAGAUGGAAUGCCUUAGAAUGACUGAUGAAGUCGAACGAACCCGAACUUUGGAGUCUAAAGCAUUCCAGGAAAAAGAACAACUGAGAUCAAAGCUGGAAGAAAUGUAUGAAGAAAGGGAGAGAACAUCCCAGGAGAUGGAAAUGUUAAGGAAGCAGGUGGAGUGUCUUGCUGAGGAAAAUGGAAAGUUGGUAGGUCACCAAAAUUUGCAUCAGAAGAUUCAGUACGUAGUGCGACUAAAGAAGGAAAAUGUCAGGCUUGCUGAGGAGACAGAAAAGUUGCGUGCCGAAAAUGUAUUUUUAAAAGAAAAGAAAAGAAGUGAAUCAUGAGGAUUCCGGUCAGCUACCUAGGCAUCACCUUGUUUGAAGAUGUUUCUUCUCUUUUACAAGUAAGACCUACUCCUGGCCACUUAGGAGAGCUGAAUUUAUGGACCUUAAUUAUUAAAUGUUUAUAAGGUGGUGGUAACCACCUCAAGUUUCUGAUGAACAUUCUGCAUCCAUAUACACCCUGUGACAGUCAGCAGUCUGCUAUUAAGUGGCCUACUUCGAGGCUUUGAAUCAACUUAAGGGAAAACCUUUUGUCUUUGUAAAAAUAAAAGCCUGUAGCUAAGGUUUACAGUGGACAUUAGCCAGAUCAUUUUCUUCUUAGAUUAUGCCAUAAUCUCCUUUGAUUCUUAUGGAAGUUCUAACAAUAUAUGGUGGUUCCAACACCUGCAGUGAGUUUAAUGACUGACUUAGUAGCAGGUACAAGAAGCAAACUUGUUAAUAUAGAUUAUUUUUGUAUUCUUACUUUAGGUAUUUUCUUGAGCAUUUUCCAUGACUGUAAAUAAAGCCAUUUUUUAAGAUAA
RNA transcript from Pan troglodytes (chimpanzee), 4952 nucleotides. It is a transcript of the gene named kinesin family member 15, with no coding region annotated. The transcript has 35 exons. The record is from RefSeq and is a predicted model, not a curated record. Lineage: Eukaryota; Metazoa; Chordata; Mammalia; Primates; Hominidae.